This 456-nucleotide ribosomal RNA is filed under the name bacterium enrichment culture clone ALO1_GLFRUDD03HDS1K. Its description in RNAcentral is "bacterial SSU rRNA". It matches the Rfam family "Bacterial small subunit ribosomal RNA", at positions 9 to 514 of the family's 1533-position model. The record is from RNAcentral.
GAGUUUGAUCCUGGCUCAGAGCGAACGCUGGCGGCAUGCUUAACACAUGCAAGUCGCACGGUCAGCAAUGGCAGUGGCGGACGGGGUGAGUAACACGUAGGAAUCUAUCUCUGGGUGGGGGACAACAGUGGGAAACUACUGCUAAUACCGCAUGAUACCUGAGGGUCAAAGGCGUAAGUCGCCUGGAGAGGAGCCUGCGUCUGAUUAGCUUGUUGGUGGGGUAAAGCCUACAAGGCUACGAUCAGUAGCUGGUCUGAGAGGAUGAUCAGCCACAUUGGGACUGAGACACGGCCCAAACUCCUACGGGAGGCAGCAGUGGGGAAUAUUGGACAAUGGGCGAAAGCCUGAUCCAGCAAUGCCGCGUGUGUGAAGAAGGUCUUCGGAUUGUAAAGCACUUUUGGCAGGGACGAUGAUGACGGUACUGCAGAAUAAGCCCGGCUAACUUCGUGCCAGCCG